UUUUUUUUUUUUGCUUUUUAGGGCUGCACCUACAGCAUCAUGGAAGACCCAGGCUAGGGGUCCAAUCAGAGCUACAGAUGCUGGCCACAGCCACAGCAACAAGGGAUCCAAGCCAUGUGUGACCUACACCACAGCUCACGGUAAUGCCAGAUCCCCGACCCACUGAUCGAGGCCAGGGUUCAAACCCGAAUACUAGUCAGAUUCAUUUCCACUACGCCACAACAGGAACUCCAAGAUUGGCCAUUUUGAAACUAAUAUACAUGAGGAAAUUAUGGCAGUUGUUAUGAAUUCCUGCAGAUCACUGAGAUGGCCAUAAAUACAUCUACUUAUAAAUAUGAAUGUAUUUUUAUAUGUCAACAUACACAUACAGAUAAACAUAUAUUUCAAAGCUCUAUGUUAUAUGAUUUUUUGCUGUUGUUGUUAAUUUUCUUUUGUCUUUUUAGGUCCGCACCCAUGGCAUAUGGAGCUCCUGAGCUUUUCACAGAUUUUAAAUGCAAACAUUUGUAAAAUGAAUGAAGAGGAAAAGCAAGAGGAGGAAAAGGGAAGAAGCAGAGGAAGAGAUGAGAAAUGUCCCUGGGAUAAACAGUGCGAUAACUUGGUGCCUUCUGAAAAUGUUAUGUAACAGAAAUGAUUCAUGUUUUUUGUUUUGUUUUGCCUAUGGCAUUUGGAGGUUCCCAGGCAAGGGAUCGAACCCACACCACAGCCAUAACAACACCAGAUUCUUAACCCACUGAGCCACCCGGGAAUUCCUGAAGUGACUCGUAUUGACAACUAGAGAUUGGACUCGUUCUUUCAUGUAAUGAUUCUGUUAAGUACCAACUAGGCUAGAAAUGCCUUAGUAGGGAAAGCACAGAGAUUGGAGGCAGGAGAUCUGGUUCAAAUCCUGAACUGACCCUUAGAGUUCUCUAAGGACUCAGUUUCCUCAUGUUCCAAGUACAAGAAAGAAAGUGACAAGUGAUUCAAACCUCAACAUUUAAUGUGAGGAUUAAAUGCUAUAAUGAAGGAAUGAGAAUAGUGCCUGCUGUAAAUUAGUCUUCAAGAAAUAUUAUUCCUUCCCUUGCCUCAUGAGAAGUGGUAAAUUCUUAACCAUGCAUUUUCUUGUUUGUUUUAUGUAUAGACAGAAAAAGGCAAGAAACUGUCCUGAGUGUUUUUGAUCUGUGAUUUGGAGAAAAUAUGUUUUCAGUCAAAUUAUCUUUGGUAACUGUACUAUACUGGCUAGUGAGAGCAUUAGUUUUCAUACUUUUAUUUAGGAGUAGUAAAAUAGAAUUCUUUUUUUUUUUUCUUUUUGGGGCCAUACCUGUGCCAUAUGGAAGUUCCCAGGCUAGGGGUCAAACUGCAGCUGCAGCCACCAGCCUACGCCACAGCCACGGCAGUGCCAGAUCCGAGCCAUGUCUGUGACCUACACCAAAGCUCAGGGAAAUGCCAGAUCCUUAACCCACUGAGCAAGGACAGGGAUUGAACCCACAUCUUCACAGACACUAGUCAGGUUCUUAACUUGCUGAGCCAUAAUGGGAACUCCAAUAAAAUAGAAUUCUAUACAUCAAUAAAUAUAAGCAAAAUUUCCACUGUGGAAUUCUAACAUAUUUAAACUUUCUUAUUCCUAUCCUCUUAAUUAAAUUUUUUCAGUCAGUACUGAGGCAGAGACUAAAGUUUCCCUGUUGCCUUUUUGGAAGAGCUACAAAAAUAUCCUUAAAAACAUGCUAAAAUAUUAUUUGUGCCUUCUAUAAAUUACUGUUUAAUAUUAAUUAUUUUAGGUAUUAAAUAACGCAAAAACUUUGUUUAUUCAAUCUGCUUUUUAUGUUUCUAAGAUAAACUUUUUAUAAUCUAUUCUAUAAUUUUAUUUUCACUAAAUUGUAAUACUCUUAACUUUGUUUCACUUAAUCAUUCAGUAUGUUGAUAAAGUCAGGAAAACAGGAACAAUUAAGUUUUCCCACAGAGGAAAUUUAAUGUAAAGAAAUGGUUAAAUUGUGGUAUAUAUAUGCAAUGGAAUACUACUCAGCCAUGAAAAGACAAACUAAUGUCAUUUAUAGUAACAUGAAUGGAACUAGAGACUCUCAUACUAAGUGAAGUAAAUCAGAAAGAAAAAGAUAAGUACAAUAUGAUAUCACUUUUGUGAAAUCUAAAAUAUGACACAGAUGACCUUAUCUGCAAAACAGAUAUAGAUCACAGCCAAGGAGAGCAGACUUGUGGUUCCCAGGGGGAAGGGAUGGGAUGGACGGGCAGUUUGGGGUUUCUAGAUACAAACUGUUAUAUUUGGAACGGAUGGGCAAUGAGCCCCCAGUGUACAGAACUGGGAACUGUGCAUUGAUUGGGUCACUUUGCUGUACAACAGAAAUUGAAGAAACACUGUUAAUCAACUAUAAUUUUUUUUAAAAAUUUAAAUGUAUUGAAAGACCAAGAAAGGAUAUAAUAGGAAAACACAAACAUUAAUACAUGCACGAAGCAGGAAUUUCCCCCAUGACUGGGACAACAAAGGCCAAAGGUUAGGGUUACAGAACUGCAAAUCUUAAAGCAGGAUUCCUGUAGUGUCAGCAUUCAUGCUUCUGAGUAGAAGGUGCCCCUGGGCCUGUGCCGGCCUCACAGGAGCCCAGACCUGCAACCAGACCUGUGAAGAAAUCAAACCCACCAGGAAGAAGUGCUGCUGACAUGGCUGGUGCUGGUAUUUCGGAAGCCUGGAGAGGAGUCCCACAGGGGGAGGGCCUCCGGCAGCUCAGGAGAAGGUUGCGCCCUCUGAUCCUGGAAACCCUGAGGGAAGCAACUGCAUUGCUUCUGGAAAUAAAGAAAGAAGCUAGAGCUUAGAACCAAUAGCUGCUGCUGGAAUAAAGGAGUUGGAAUAACUGGAGUUGGGUGACACUGACAACAGCCAUCAACUAAGAAGGAUUAAAUCCUCUCUUCCUUGCUUGCCCUAUGCCUCUCAGGCUUCCAACUCACAGAAUCCAAACAGAAAGUCAGCAGACAGCUCAAUGUGGUUUGUGGAUCCCAGCCUGAGUAACAGAGAGAAAAGAAAUAAGAAUAGACUUGGACUUCACAGCAGUAGCUUUGUAACAGACAGAGGGACAUUUCAUAAGUGUAGCGAAAUCUUUCUCAUCAUCGGUUUUGUCCAGCAAAUUCUGUUAUCCAGGUAUCAACAUGUGCUUAUCUUGUAAUAGUCCAUCAACAAAGAAUUUAGUAUCUGGUGUUCAUGGAAGGCCAAUUACUACUGAGGUAUAAUUUUCAAUUCAAUGUUAAAUAUCUUGAUUUAAUACAAUCAGAGAACUGUUGAAUUAUCAUUAUUUUUUCCAUUGAUUACCUAAAUAUGAGGAUGUAGUGAUAAAAUCAGCAUUAAUUCUGAUAAAUUAUUACUUUUUAUCAAAACUUGAAAUAUUCAUUGAUAAGAGAUAUCUUCUUUUAGGAUUCUAUAAAAUGCUGUUAUUUGUUAUUAAUUAUUAUGAUUAAUAAAUUAUUAUUACCUACUGCUCAAAUACUCUGCUUUGGCAUUUAUUCACACAGCAGAGUCCUACAUCCUGAAUCUGCCCAAUGUUGAAAUCUAACUCCUCUAUUUCCUGCAUCCAAUGGUGGACAACAUGACAGUCAUUUAAUUAGAUACAUAAAUAUUUGAUUUUACUAUACAAAGAGAAUAGCCCUUCAUGUUGCCAAACUUUCCUGCUUCUGUAAUCAUUUCUGUUCCUGAGGCCUCUCUUCAGAACCUGAAGCUGCAUUUGUUUUAAAGUUUCACUUAAAUCACAAUUUUCUCCCUGAGUCUACACAGAACACAAAGCACAUUUGGAAAGACAGGAAAUCUGAGGAACAUAGUAUAAAACUAACCCAAUAACCAGAGCAGUCUAAUUUUUCCCAAAGGAUCUGUGAAUCUAUAUCCUACUGUACGGCAGCUCUCACGUUUUCAUUUUCCUUCCAGGGUUUCCAAUAAUUAUGUCUUCGAAAAGUGUUUUUGCCAGGAUGGAUGGCUGCAGAACUGAGUCUGGGAAAUCAACAAUCCCGCCUUCCGGGUAAAAGGAAUGAAGAAAGAAGAGUGAGUUCUUCAAAGUUGUUCUUUCCUAUUCUUAUAAGUUUUUUCACCCUUCAAAAAUAAAUGCUUUUAUCGUCUUUGUUUUAUUAAUAAUGGGAGACUAAGAAUAAUAAAAACUGUAAAGUAGAAAACUGGGUAAGGAAAGGGAAAGACUUAAAAUACCUCAACCAACCUUAUUCUAAUGAAGUUUUGGUUUGUUUGUUCCUUUUUGUCUUUUGUCUUUUUAGGGCAGUACCCGCAGCAUAUGGAGGUUCCCAGGCUAGGGUCGAAUCUGAGCUGCCACUGCUGGCCUACACCACAGCCACAAUAACGCAGGAUCCGAGCCAUGUCUGCAACCUGCAGCACAGCUCACCACAAUACUGGAUCCCUGACCCACUGAGCGAGGCCAGGGAUGGAAACCACAACCUCAUUGAUACUAGUCAGGUUCGUUAACCUCUGAGGCACGGUAGGAACUCCCUAAUGAAAAUAUUAAGUAGUCAAACUAGAAUGAUACAAUGUUUUAUUGAAAUAGAAUUGAUUUUGCAAUAUUAUAUGAAGUUCAGGUAUAUAGUACAGUGAUACAGUAUCUUUACAGAUUAUACUCCAUUAACAUUUAUUAUAAUAGCUAUAAUUCGCUAUACUAUACAAUCAAUAUAGCCUCAUUGUUUAUCUAUUUCAUACAUAGUGGUUGGUGUCUCUUAAUUCCAUACCCUAAUUUUUCCCUCCCCCUCUUUCUCCCUUCUGAUAACCACUAGUCUGUUCUCUAUAUCUGCGACAUUGUUUCUGUUUUGUGUAUACAUUCGUUUGUUUUAUUUGUAUUAUUUUUAAGAUUCUACAUAUUGGUGAUAUCAAACAGUAUUUGUCUUUUUCUGUCUAACUUAUUUCACUUAGUACAGUAUUCUCCAGGUUCAUCCAUGUUGCUGUAGAUGAAAGAAUUUCAUUCUUUUUAUAGCUAAGUAAUGUGGUCCAGAAUGUAAUGAAUAAACCAUAUCUUAUCUAUCUCUUUGUUGAUAGGCACUUGGGUGGCUUCCAUAUCUUGGCUUUUGCAAAUAGUGCUGCUAUGAACAUUGGAGUGCAUGCAUAUUUUCAAAUUAGUGUUUUUGGUUUUUCCAGAUAUAUACCUAAGAUUGGAAUUGCUGGAUCAUAUGGUAGUUCUAUUUUUAGCUUUUUGAGGAACCUCCAUAUUCUUUUCCAUAGUAGCCAUACCAAUUGGCAUUCCC
RNAcentral lists this long non-coding RNA (5205 nucleotides) under Sus scrofa (pig). RNAcentral describes it as "lncRNA (ENSSSCG00045024044.1)". Lineage: Eukaryota; Metazoa; Chordata; Mammalia; Artiodactyla; Suidae. The record is from RNAcentral.